This 265-nucleotide ribosomal RNA is filed under the name uncultured bacterium. RNAcentral describes it as "partial 16S ribosomal RNA". It matches the Rfam family "Bacterial small subunit ribosomal RNA", at positions 793 to 1055 of the family's 1533-position model. The record is from RNAcentral.
GUCCACGCCGUAAACGAUGGACACUAGGCGUCGGGGGGAGCGACCCUCCCGGUGCCGUCGCUAACGCAGUAAGUGUCCCGCCUGGGGAGUACGGCCGCAAGGCUGAAACUCAAAGGAAUUGACGGGGGCCCGCACAAGCGGUGGAGCAUGUGGUUUAAUUCGAAGCAACGCGAAGAACCUUACCUGGGCUUGACAUGCACGGGAAAGCCGGUGGAAACAUCGGCCCCUCUUCGGAGUCCGUGCACAGGUGCUGCAUGGCUGUCGU